Cataglyphis hispanica is the source of this 1739-nucleotide long non-coding RNA. RefSeq lists it as uncharacterized. The transcript is spliced from 3 exons. Lineage: Eukaryota; Metazoa; Arthropoda; Insecta; Hymenoptera; Formicidae. The record is from RefSeq and is a predicted model, not a curated record.
GAGGAAUGGCACAGGUAUCCGAUUCGGCUUUCCGUUUUACCAACCGGCGCCAGCGUCCGCCGAGAUUCUUGCGGAAGCCCUUCGCAAACCCAGGCCUAUGCGAUGGCAAGGCGUGUACAAGAGUAUCCUGUAAAACCAGACAGAAGCUCACCACAGAUUUAUAUUAUUAGCUAAAAUUCCGGCGAUUCUAAUCCUGCCAAUAUCGCAGACAGAGGAAAGAUAUUUUUUUUCAAGAAAUAAACGCCUCGACAGCUGCAGCCUAUUCGGUACUCAACGAUACGUAGACGCCCACCGGCGACGCUAAAUUUAGCGUCAGGUCGGAGAAGCAUCAAGAACUGCACCCAUUUCACCGGUGUAUUUAUAGGUACAUUCUAUCGCUUUUUAUUAGAUCUAAUAAAAUAAUUUUAUCGCGGUAUCAUGUCCGUGUAAAAUUAAUUACAGUUUAUACAAUGCAACUAAGAAUUUACGAUACAUUAUUAAUUUGUUAAUAACGUGUUAAUAUAAUGAAAUUAUUUUUCUGAAUUCGAUAACGAUUAUUUCAAGUACUCUAAAUAUAAAGUUUUUUUAAUUUUCCGUUUUUAAUAAAGAAAUUAAUUUUUCUCAUCAACUCUUCUCUAUAUGCAAAUCUAUUUUAUUGCAGAAUCAUUAAAUUGUGCCAUGACUUAAUUGUACAAUGAGGAUAAGUUUUCUAGAAAAAAUUUUUAGAAUAUUUUAUUAUUUUUAGGUAACAAUAUCAAAUGAAUAUAUAAAAAAUAAAUUAAAAAAAAACGAUGUUCUAUUCGUCGUGAUCGAAUAAGCUUUUCCACGUUGUGUUAAAGCGAUAAAAGGCAUUUUGCAGCCAAUCCACUGAUCGCGGCUUGUACGGCGGGAAUAAUCGAUCGUCCACGAAGUAGCGUAAAACCGCGAUGGCCGCAGAUCGUUUUUUUGGAAUAUGAAUUGAAAUAAGGACAUUAACAUUCGAGCGUGCAUGAAGAAGUUUGUAAGACCUAUCGUACGUUUUUGUCGUAAGGAAAUCGACCCUUACAGAAUUUCAGCCGCAACUGCGUUACCACUUUCUACGCUUGCGAAUCUUUUUUUGGAUAUCUCCGGUCGAGGACAUCGCAUGUCCUCGAGUCAUUGGACAGUAUAGCAGGGACAAACCAGUAAAAUCUGGUAAUACUGGCUCCACCGGUUAAGCGGUUAGUCGUUGAGACAGUUAGAUCAACUGAUAGAUCGCGAGAAAGAAUGAUCAAUGGUUAUCUACAUCUGCUUCAAUAUCAUCGAUUUCUAAUUUAUGAUCAACAAUCCGAUAAAAGUUAUUGAUUAAGGAUUGAAAAACGUUUUGAAAAUCUUAAUAUAUUUUUAGGUAAAUUAAAAAACUUAGAAAUUUGAGAAAAAUAAAUUAGAUUUUUGUCCUUUACUGCAUAUUGCGUUUUACCUUUAAGCAAAUAAAUAUAUAACAUUAUAAUUUAUAAAUUAAUAAUAAAUAGAUAAUUGAUGAAGAACGAUGUUGAAUUUCCAGAAUCUCGAAUUUGAGAACCACUGAGAUGAUAAAUACGCUAUAUUCAAAGUUAAUGCCACUGACCUAAGCUAAUCGAGUCUUACCGCGCAAAUGGCUUGGAACACAGAAAAUAAUAUUCUCUUCCGUAUUGUUAUAUCUUACAGAAAAACAUAACAAAAUAUGUUGAAACAGUUUUAGUAUAUAAAAUUGAGACACUCUAUAAGCCUCUGAUUAUAUAAGACUAUCAAUUUCUAAAACA